GUUUUUCCACAUAUUCUGAAUAAUUUUCGGGGUGUAUUUAUAGAUAGUUGUUUAUAAGAUAGUCAGUAUACUAUAGAGCAGUUUGUAUUCUAGCACCAGCGUUGUAGCCGUCUGCCUUAUUCUACUGAUCAAUCGAAGUUUGGGAGAAGAUGGUCCGAUUGUUGUUGUUUACAAUGAUAUUUCUUUCGAUGUAUACAGUCGGAAUGAUGCAGGCAGUUGGAGGCGGGCUUGGAGAUGGCGUUAAUGGUAACGACCGCACAGCAUGUGAACCGAAUCCUUGUCCACAAGGCAUGGAAGUGUGUACAGAAACUGAGGAUGGCCGUUAUUCGUGUGGUCCACGUAAGAAUUAUAUCUGAGAACAU
Anneissia japonica is the source of this 362-nucleotide long non-coding RNA. RefSeq lists it as uncharacterized. Lineage: Eukaryota; Metazoa; Echinodermata; Crinoidea; Comatulida; Comatulidae. The transcript is spliced from 3 exons. The record is from RefSeq and is a predicted model, not a curated record.